RNAcentral lists this ribosomal RNA (372 nucleotides) under uncultured organism. Its description in RNAcentral is "bacterial SSU rRNA". It matches the Rfam family "Bacterial small subunit ribosomal RNA", at positions 526 to 896 of the family's 1533-position model. The record is from RNAcentral.
CGGAGGGUGCAAACGUUGCUCGGAAUCAUUGGGCGUAAAGCGCACGUAGGCGGUCCAGCAAGUCGGGUGUGAAAGCCCUCGGCUUAACCGAGGAAGAGCAUUCGAAACUACUGGGCUUGAGUACUGAAGAGGAUCGCGGAAUUCCCGGUGUAGAGGUGAAACUCGUAGAUAUCGGGAGGAACACCAGUGGCGAAGGCGGCGAUCUGGGCAGAUACUGACGCUGAUGUGCGAAAGCGUGGGGAGCAAACUGGAUUAGAUACCCUGGUAGUCCACGCCGUAAACGAUGAGCGCUAGUCGUCGCGGGUAUUGACCCCUGCGGCAACGAAGUUAACGCAUUAAGCGCUCCGCCUGGGGAGUACGGCCGCAAGGCUA